Molecule: long non-coding RNA, 1183 nt
Filed under: Canis lupus familiaris (dog)
Lineage: Eukaryota; Metazoa; Chordata; Mammalia; Carnivora; Canidae
Description: lncRNA (ENSCAFG00000054792.1)
Source: RNAcentral
CUCACAGCAAGGGAACUCCCACUCCGGGCGUGCCUAACAACCAUCUGCAAAUGCAAAGCGAUUCCUGGAAGAGGCGAGCGCAGGACCUGCUUCUCCGGGACCCCAUCGUCUCCUAGAGGGUCCCCCCAAGCAGAACUGAGAGGUCUCCGCCGGACACUCAGAGCUGACGCUGGGCUCAGGCCGGUCAGAGCCGGGUCACCCCGCCCAGAUCCCCUCGGGCACCCGCUCGGGGGCCCCCCGGGGCUUCCAGGAAGAGUCCGGGACGGAAUCCCCCGCCCUGGGGGCGCAGAGCCCCCCUCGCUCCCCGGGGCCGGGAAGCAGGGGCGAGGGUGCGGGGAGCACUGGCUCCUGGUCGCCGCUGGGGCUCCCCGGGACCCCUCCGGCCCGCCCCCCCCCCGACCUCCGCGCCCCGGGCCGCCCCACCCGGGCUCCGACGGGCUCACCCUCGCACAUUUGAACCGAGGAGGCCGAGCGGCCGGGCGGGGCUCGCAGAUGCCAUUGGCUGCGGCGGCGGCGUGACAUCAGCGCGGAGGGCGCGGGAGGGAGGGCGCGGGAGGGGCCUGGGAGGGGAGUGUCCCGGAGGCUCGCCGCCCUGCGCGCCCGAGCAGAGGGAAGCCGACCCCGGCGCUGACAUGGGCCUCCAGCCCCGCGCCCGCCCGCAGCCCACGGAGGGGACAGCGCAGCCGCGCCGGCCGGGCGCCAGCAUCUCCGGGGACCCAGGGAAUCAGAACAUGGGGAGGUUCCUCUGAGCAGGAAGCUGGAAGGAGAUCCUGAGUGAGGAAGAGCCAUCCCUGAGAGCAGAUCUCUGAUGGGAAGUCAAUCCAAGUGAGUCUUGGUUCCAAGGGUCUUCCAUUAGCAGCCUCCCCAAUGCCAUCCCACCCCCGUCUUCCACGGGCACAUUCUUGACUGGGGAUACCUGAAUGGGCCGGGAGGCGUCACCUCAUUCAGAAAACCAUGUGUCUGAGGUCGGUCACACGGGUUCAAGUGGGUCGAAGUCACCAUUUAGUAGCUAUGAGAGUGAUCCGUGUGGGGUGAGCCUCUCACCAUCUGAGCCUGUUUCCCUUUCUGUAAAAUGGGCACAGUCUUGACACCGUCCUUGCAGGGAGAGGGGCACAAGUUUCCCAUGUCCUAGCACAAUGCCUGGCAUGCAGCAGACCCCAGGGGAUGACGGUGUUGGUGCGUC